AGUGAACGCUGGCGGUAGGCCUAACACAUGCAAGUCGAACGGCAGCACAGUAAGAGCUUGCUCUUACGGGUGGCGAGUGGCGGACGGGUGAGGAAUACAUCGGAAUCUACUUUUUCGUGGGGGAUAACGUAGGGAAACUUACGCUAAUACCGCAUACGACCUACGGGUGAAAGCAGGGGAUCUUCGGACCUUGCGCGAUUGAAUGAGCCGAUGUCGGAUUAGCUAGUUGGCGGGGUAAAGGCCCACCAAGGCGACGAUCCGUAGCUGGUCUGAGAGGGUGAUCAGCCACACUGGAACUGAGGCACGGUCCAGACUCCUACAGGAGGCAGCAGUGGGGAAUAUUGGACGAUGGGCGCAAGCCUGAUCCAGCCAUACCGCGUGGGUGAAGAAGGCCUUCGGGUUGUAAAGCCCUUUUGUUGGGAAAGAAAAGCAGCAGGUUAAUACCCCGCUGUUCUGACGGUACCCAAAGAAUAAGCACCGGCUAACUUCGUG
Molecule: ribosomal RNA, 492 nt
Filed under: uncultured bacterium
Lineage: Bacteria
Description: partial 16S ribosomal RNA
Rfam family: Bacterial small subunit ribosomal RNA
Source: RNAcentral